This 393-nucleotide ribosomal RNA is filed under the name uncultured bacterium. Its description in RNAcentral is "partial 16S ribosomal RNA". It matches the Rfam family "Bacterial small subunit ribosomal RNA", at positions 338 to 730 of the family's 1533-position model. The record is from RNAcentral.
CCUACGGGUGGCAGCAGUGAGGAAUAUUGGUCAAUGGGCGCGAGCCUGAACCAGCCAAGUCGCGUGAGGGAGUACUGCCCUAUGGGUUGUAAACUUCUUUUGUCGGGGAGUAAAAGCAGGAAGUGUCCGGCUGUGAGAGUUCCCGAAGAAAAAGCAUCGGCUAACUUCGUGCCGGCAGCCGCGGUAAUACGGAGGAUGCGAGCGUUUUCCGGGUUUUUUGGGUUUAAAGGGUGGGGAGGCGGAUUUUUAAGUUAGCGGUAAAAACGUGGGGCUCAACCCCAUCAAGCGGUUGAAAUUGGGGGUCUUGAGUGUGCUAGAGGUAUGCGGAAUGCGUGGUGUAGCGGUGAAAUGCAUAGAUAUCACGCAGAACCCCGAUUGCGAAGGCAGCAUACC